UUUUGGUCGCCGCCUUGCUCUCCUCACGCUCGCUCCGCUCCUGUCAGGGCACUCGGCGCGCGACUGGCGGCUUUCUGCGCACGCGCUCGUUUACCCACCCACCCCUCCUCCUCCCCCCCUCCCUUGCGCGCGCCCUGACGGCAGACGGGCCGGGGAAGCGAAGGAAGGAGACGGCGGGACGUAAACUCAACACUUCCCCCCCCCUCCCGUCUCUCUCGCGCACAGGGGUCCUCCUGUGUGCGCACGCGCAAGUCUCUUGGCACGCUGAAGCCGCUAAGGCGCGCCGAUGCCCUCACUCGUGGCUGAGGGUGAACGAGGGAUGGGGCCCGGAAGCGGUUCGAAGACGACUUGGGUGAGCGCCGAAAGGAAAAGCCUGGCGGAACCCUCCACGUGAGUGUGUGAGAUAGACGAGAUGAAACUUCAUGAUGCAUGUGAUGGAAAACUUGUGCCAUAAUAAAUCGGUCAAUCUUU
Podarcis raffonei (Aeolian wall lizard) is the source of this 471-nucleotide long non-coding RNA. RefSeq lists it as uncharacterized. The record is from RefSeq and is a predicted model, not a curated record. The transcript is spliced from 2 exons. Lineage: Eukaryota; Metazoa; Chordata; Lepidosauria; Squamata; Lacertidae.